UACGUAGGGGGCAAGCGUUGUCCGGAAUCAUUGGGCGUAAAGAGCGCGUAGGCGGUCCGGUAAGUCCGCUCUGAAAGUCCGGGGCUCAACCCCGGGAGGCGGGCGGAUACUGUCGGGCUAGAGUCCGGAAGAGGCGAGUGGAAUUCCUGGUGUAGCGGUGGAAUGCGCAGAUAUCAGGAGGAACACUAAUAGCGAAGGCAGCUCGCUGGGACGUUACUGACACUGAGGCGCGAAAGCGUGGGGAGCGAACAGG
Molecule: ribosomal RNA, 253 nt
Filed under: uncultured bacterium
Lineage: Bacteria
Description: partial 16S ribosomal RNA
Rfam family: Bacterial small subunit ribosomal RNA
Source: RNAcentral